RNAcentral lists this long non-coding RNA (3773 nucleotides) under Homo sapiens (human). Its description in RNAcentral is "PCBP1 antisense RNA 1, transcript variant 25 (PCBP1-AS1)". Lineage: Eukaryota; Metazoa; Chordata; Mammalia; Primates; Hominidae. The record is from RNAcentral.
GUCCCCGGCGUCCGGGCGCCCUGCAUGGAUCCCCCACCCCAGCUCCUGCUCCCCGGCGGCGGCCGGUGGGCAGAAAGACCGAAACCCACUCACGGCCGCCUGCCGAAUCGCGGCUCUGCUGUUUGUGGGGCGUGCUAGAAACGUGGUCCUAAAAAGAAUGGCGUCCAUUUACAUAAUGCUUUGUUUGCGUUUCGCAAGUUUCUUUCGGUUAAAGCCACAGAAACCCCACCUCCUGCCCUUGUGUCGUUUCCACCGCGGCACCCUUUUCCGACAUUAGAAACAAUAGUGUACGCCUGUGGAGGCCUCGUUUGUUCAGGGGCUGCCGGCCAGGGCUUCAGGACGUUUCUGCGGCUUUCCCCGCGCGGCCUGGGCUCCCGCGGCUGCUUUUCGGGCCCAUGGGCGCAGCCACUGCGCCAGGCUCAAGGGGGGCGGCCCCGUCAGGGCCCGCCAUCUUGGAAGGCCUUUUUUGCCGGUUCUUCCCGCUGAGGAAGUGUCGCUCAAGACGCUGGCCUAUGAGUUGUGAUUUCUGCCUUUUCCCCUUCCUCCUUGGGCUAAGCCAGACCAGAAAGGGCCCCGUGCGCAACGUGCUUCACAAUCUCUCAGGGAAAGCGGCUAACGUGGCGCUACUCCGCCUCCCCUGUUCCUUACCCUUGGGGCGGCCGCCAUGUUUCCUGAACACAAAAUGGCGACACGUGGUUAGCAUUCGUCGCCAACGAGAAAUUGGGGUCGGCCCGAAAGCUCUAGAAUGCACCCCUCUUCCUCCCCGGGGCCUUCCACCUCCGCGAGUUUUAUGACUUAAAAAAGCCCACAGGCUGGUCUGAAGGUCGGAGGCCUAAUUUUAACGCGUUUUCCUCCCUUUAAUUUGAAACGGGAACGCGAAUGACUGUAAAAUGUGGGCACAAUAUUUAAUCUCUCGCCUUUUUAAAGCUUAAUAGUGGAUAAUAGGGGGGCAGUAUCAAGGGAUAAUUUGGGUCCCCACAGUACCAAAGCAUUUAGAAACCUCUGUUUAAUUUAAGGAAUGAGAUAAGUUACUGCUUUUCUAGACUUCCUAGCAUGGGCUGUUGUGCUGGAGAGAACGAGAGCUACGAAGAGACUACAGUGCCUCUGACUUUUUCAUAGGACAGUUGGCCGGUGAAUCUUAUUAAUAGUUUACCACAAUUAAGUGUUCAUUUUUAGUCUAGAAGGGACAGGCGUUUAUUGUGCAUUGGCCAGUGCCAGCACAUCCGAUGCAAGGCAGUUCACCGUAUUCUAUCUUUAAUUUUUACCAUGGUCCUCUGAGGUAGGUGUUCUUAUCUCUCUCUCUCUCUCUCUCUUUUAAACAGAGGAAGACAAACAUAAAGAUGAAGUGCUUAAUUCAAGGUCACACAAUGUCGGGGAUGGACCUCCAGAUUUCCUUACUGACCUGCAUUAUCUUGUGGAUACCUGAGUGAAUUCCACACCACCCAUUUUAUAGAUGAAACCACUGAGACAUGGAGCAAUUGACUGAGUAGUCACUGCCCCACCCCUGCCUGGAGCCUCACACAUGACUCGCCUCCUCUCAGUGACCACAGACCAAGUGUGUUGGGGACUUGAGAUGCGUACAUGAGUGUGAUGUUUCCUGCUGAAAGCACAGGUGAGACGUGGUCUUGUAACACAGUGGUUAAGAAUGUGACUUUGGAGCCAGCCUGCUAGGGGCUGAAUUCUGACUCAGCCAUUUACUAACUGUGUGACCUUAGGGAGGAGGACCUGGUUGAUAGAAGAAUUUAUCUCGUAGUCUUAACAUCCACUGUAAUUCCAAACUUUGAGGACGAUAGAGAUCAGUGGGCUUUGACUGCCCAGCAUGCAGUCUCCAUUCUUAGGUGGGUUCCCAAGCCUGUAAAAUGUAAGCCUUAUGCUGCUGAGGGCCAUCUUGCCACCCUGAGGGAAACGCUGCCUGAGAAUGAAACAAGCAUAAGUAAAAGCUGAGCUGUGAGAUGGAGCAAGAUGAAGGCCACAUGACAUCUUUGGAGCACCUGGAUCUAACUGUGCCUUAAGCUAGUCUAACCCUGAACAUUUCAUCAUUUCAUUGACAUGAGCCCAGGUUUUCUUUUUUUUUGGAUGGAGUCUUGCUCUGUCGCCCAGGCUGGAGUGCAGUAGCUCAAUCUCGGCUCACUGCAAGCUCCACCUCCCGGGUUCACGCCAUUCUCCUGCCUUAGCCUCCCAAGUAGCUGGGACAACAGGCGCCCACCACCACUCCCAGCUAAUUUUUUGUAUUUUUAGUAGAGACGGGGUUUUACCAUGUUAGCCGGGAUGGUCUUGAUCUCCUGACCUCAUGAUCCGCCCGCCUCGGCCUCCCAAAGUGCUGGGAUUACAGGUGUGAGCCACUGCACCCAGCCCUCAGGUUUUCCCUUUUUUUACCCCUCCUUUUGAAAAUUUGAUGUGGAAUUUUGCCACCUGCAGCCAGAAGAGUUUUAACUAAUCAGUGCCAUAAAUUUUAUAUAGUUCUCCUUGCAAAAUGUGGAUCAGCCUUUCUCAGCAAAUCCUUUGUCAUAAAGUGCUGAAUUGUAAGUUUGUCAUGAGAAUCACAUGAGAUCAUGCAUGUGAAGAACCUGGCAUUAUCCUCCUCAUAGAAAAAAACCAGUAAAUAUUAACUACAGGAAGCAAGGAAGGAGUGGGGUGAGGGGAAGAAGAAGGGGUACUGAUUUAAAAGAACCCUGGAGUCCUAAGGAUAAUCUAGGAACCCUCAGACCCAAUCCGAUACCCCUAUUCUAAAUGCUCCUAGUGCCCUGUACCUUCCCCUCAUAAGCCUUCAUUAUCAUUGUAAUGAUAUGUUUAUGUAAUAUUUUGAUUAAUGUCUCUCCUUCACUGACCUAGCAGUUCUAGCAGGGCAGUGAUUUUGCUGUGUUGCAUCCCCAGCACCUAGUCUGGUAUGUGGCAUUCAGCAUAUGUUUAUUGAAUGAAUGGCCAUGUGGUUAUUCAGAUCCUCCUUGAUUAUUGGGGUUAGGAUUGUGGCAGAAGUGGCAAAAUCAGGGAGAGUAGUCCCUGUCCCCUCUGUAUCUUAUACACUGCCCACACUCCCAACACACAUACACAUACAGAGAAUUUUGUCUCAAUUAGAUAAUUAACUUCUGCUUGGUUGUAAACCAAACCACUGGUUCUUAAACUUUCAUUGGAUCAUUUUAUUGAAGAAUUAAAUAGUGUGGUUCUGGCCUAAUGUCUGGAAAGCCUUGCAGAGGAGUGGAUUAGGUCUUUGUGAUAAACAGGCAGCCUUCCCUGCUCCUGUGUCUUUAUAAAAUCUAUUUAACUGGAGUAGUCCACCCUCCCUCAGGCUCUUACAGGAAUAUGUUGGAGGCUGUAGGAAGGUGGGAAACCGAGAGGGAAAGGACUGGGCCGCUGGAGACUUCACUCAUUCCCUAGCAAGAAACAAAAGCAGUAAAAGGUGGCCCGAGGACAACCUGAAGCUCACUCCUUCAGCACUUUUGGCUGGAGGUCACUUGUUGGAGCCCCACUCAGAGCUCAGCACACCACCCCACCAGCAGCCUCCUCCUCCCAGCUGAGGCUGCAUUUCAUCCCUUCCCCCAGCCUGCUUUCCCUGAGAUAGGGGAGUGUUUCCCAGGGCCCAUGUGACUUCCACUGGCAAGUGACGAUUACCAAUGGUUUACUAGUCAGUGAAACUACCAAAGGCUUUUGUGCUGUAGUAAUCCUUUUCCUGUUUAAAACUCUGGGGAUUUUCUAAUGUUGCCAAUAGUUUUUCAAGUCAGCAAUUACUGUGUGGAUUAUGUAAUGGCUCGGUAUUAAAAAUAGAAAAGACUGGA